Molecule: long non-coding RNA, 847 nt
Filed under: Homo sapiens (human)
Lineage: Eukaryota; Metazoa; Chordata; Mammalia; Primates; Hominidae
Description: non-protein coding LINC01579:11
Source: RNAcentral
CUGUUUCCGCCAUUUCAAGGGAUGGCGCUCCCAUCUCUUUAAGCUGCCGCUCUUCCAACUUGGCAGGGCUGAUUAGGAAGACCCAGUUCCUGACCACCGAUGCUUUGCUACGCUAGGCUGGAAAAUGCCUCCCUCUGCCCUUGAGAAGGGGGUCUGAAUGUUUUGCGGGACUGACACCGCAGCAACAUGCCGGUGUGUUUCACGCUGCUGCCUCCUGUUUCCCUUGAAGCUUUCACCAGACCCUGGAUUUCUUUUUCACUUCCUGUUCUGAGCCAUCGCCGGGCACUCAUUACCCACCAGCUGUGUCCCAGCUGCCGCAUUCUACACUAGAGGUGGCGCCCUGCACCCGGCGGAAAUGAAGAGAAUCAGACUACCCACCUUGGAUUCUGAUAUGAAAGAUUUAGGAUAAAAGAGCUACUCCAUCAGCCUGGAAAGAUGACUCACUGGCAAACUCUUAGAUAAAGAUGGCAGAAGCAAUUCUUCAGUGAAGGCUUCAAGCAACACCUCCAAACUUCUGACACAUCUGGGAAGCGGUACUGUAGAGCUGACCUACCUUGAAUGAGACCUUUAAAUGUUGAUUCUCUAACUGCAGGUCAACGCUUCUUGACUCCCUGGUUUUCCUUCUUGACUCACUGCUCAGGAGACUGCCCUUUUAGUGAUAAUUCUGCUCCACUUCUGCUUUCAACCUGCAUAUUCUUCAUGAGGAAUCUACUGGAUCCUUGAUCCUAUACCCACCACUUCUCCACUGGGUUUCCCUUUUCUUAGAUUCAUCCGUUUCCAUUAGCAGCCACAUUCCUCCAGACACUGCCAUCGCUGUGACACUAAUUUGGCUUGCCUUCUGGCAACU